GAUCAACGCUGGCGGCGUGCCUAAUGCAUGCAAGUCGAACGGGGCUUGGUACGCCAAGUCCAGUGGCGGACGGGUGCGGAACACGUACGAGACCUACCCUCUGGUGGGGAAUACCCCUUCGAAAGGAGGGCUAAUGCCGCAUACGGUCAUCGGGGUGAUGCCGGAUGAGGAAAGGCGUCGGAAGGCGCUGCCGGAGGCGGGGCGUGCGGCCGAUUAGCUGGUUGGUGGGGUAAUGGCCUACCAAGGCUGCGAUCGGUAGCUGGUCUGAGAGGAUGGU
Molecule: ribosomal RNA, 277 nt
Filed under: uncultured bacterium
Lineage: Bacteria
Description: partial 16S ribosomal RNA
Rfam family: Bacterial small subunit ribosomal RNA
Source: RNAcentral